This 468-nucleotide ribosomal RNA is filed under the name uncultured bacterium. Its description in RNAcentral is "partial 16S ribosomal RNA". It matches the Rfam family "Bacterial small subunit ribosomal RNA", at positions 28 to 507 of the family's 1533-position model. The record is from RNAcentral.
GACGAACGCUGGCGGCGUGCUUAACACAUGCAAGUCGAACGGAAAGGCACUGCUUUUGUGGGGUGCUCGAGUGGCGAACGGGUGAGUAACACGUGAGUAACCUGCCCUUCACUUUGGGAUAACUUCAGGAAACUGGGGCUACUACCGGAUAGGAGAUCCUGCUGCAUGGUGGGGGUUGGAAAGUUUCGGCGGUUGGGGAUGGACUCGCGGCUUAUCAGCUUGUUGGUGGGGUAGUGGCUUACCAAGGCUUUGACGGGUAGCCGGCCUGAGAGGGUGACCGGGCACAUUGGGACUGCGAGACGGACCAGAGUCCUAUGGGAGGCAGCAGUGGGAAAUAUUGCACAAUGGGCGGAAGCCUGAUGCAGCAGCGCCGCGUGCGGGAUGACGGCCUUCGGGUUGUAAACCGCUUUCGCCUGUGACGAAGCGGGAGUGACGGUAAUGGGUAAAGAAGCACCGGCUAACUACGUG